Molecule: non-coding RNA, 16111 nt
Organism: Rattus norvegicus (Norway rat)
Lineage: Eukaryota; Metazoa; Chordata; Mammalia; Rodentia; Muridae
Source: RefSeq, a predicted model, not a curated record
CAGGAAAGCUGGGGAGGAAUGAUAGCCUAAAAGGGAAGACACCAUUUUAAGUGUCAGCUAUUUCCUGUGAGGCAGGAACGAAGAUUGGGGUUUGGGGUUGUUCCCAGGGUCCCUGUUCCUCAGAAUAAGCCCCAAGCAUAUGCUCCUCUCAAACACCUCUGUCGUCAUUUGGGAUGUUUUUAGACAGGGCUUCACAGAGCCCAGGCAGGCUUCCAACUCAUUAUCCACUCAGAGAGGACCUUGAACUCCUGCUCCUCCUGCUGCUGUGUCCCCAUCACUGGGUUUAUGGGUGUACCCACAUAUCCAUCUUCAAAUGCCUCUGAUAAAUAAAACGAGGAUGUGGGUGGCUUUAUCUCUGUCCUCGAGACUAAAGGGUACAGCAAAAGGCAAGUGACAACCACACCAUGUGAGUCCUUCUGGAGCACAGCGUGGAGUCCUGGGGUGCUCUCUUAGAAGCACAGGCUGAGCUGGGACCAUGAACAGAGGCUCCCCGAGGAGGAUGCGCUCUGGAAAGCCGGCUAGUGCAGAGUUCCUGUUGACUUUGGGCAGUAACACUGAUAUUCCGGCCUCUCGACAGUGUAACUUGAGAAAUGCUGCUGAGCAGGGUGAGGAAGCCCAUGGAGCCUGUCUGGAGUGCCUCCAGUCCCCAUGUUCCCUUGGGCUGCAGCGGAAAUAUUCUAGGCAUGAGGUACCUGUGGACUCGAAUUCCACACUAGUGACAGUGAGCGACACAUAUGGAGCUGGGGGAAGAUAUCUCAGCAAUCAAGCAGUUGACGCCUCUGUAGUUCUCAGGACCUAAGUCCGGUGAACCACAACUCAGUUGUGGGGGAACCCAACUCUUCCUGUAGGCACCUGAACUCACGCCUGUGUGACUGCACACGUGCACAGCACCAAAGAAAAUGUUCCUUCUUCGUGGUCAUGAGACUAAGUAUUUGGAAUCAUAACAUUUAUGAUGUAGCACUGAACCAUGAUUUUGCGACACCUAGAGCAGCCAUGUGGGUCAACCCUCAGCAGACUAUGGCUUGAAGGAGUUGUCAGUCAUAACUGUCUACAGGCAACCAUGCAUGAGGCAUCUCUCUAUCAUGGGACACUGCUGCAUUGAUCUCCCACCAGAAAACUAAGAGAAACCACCAGCGGCUAAUGGCACUCCAGAGAUAGUUUAAGUUGCUUCUGCAAGACAUCUUGUCAUGUGGUGAUCUACUCAUCUAAGAGGAUGAGGAACUUUUGGAGCGCCGUGGUGACCUUGAAGGUGACAAUGACACCAUCCAUUCCUAGAACAUUGUGACAGCUGCCACCUGAACGGGUAAAAGUGGUACAUGGGGAUCUACCCCCCCCAGAUGGCAGGACGCUCACAGAAGGGUCAGAUGGUGCAGGUAAACACUCCCACUCAUGAGUAUUUUUCUAUUAAGGGAGGUUGCUCUAUGCCUAGCUAGGUUUGCCCCAUGUUGCUCUUUGCUUUCUGCUUGGGAGUAGCUUUCCCCUGUGCUUUCCUCUCCUUCGUAGUCACCCUCUUCUGAUAUGCUCAUUAGUAAACCCAGAGCUGCUUUUACUAGUACAGAAUAGCACUAGCCUGCAGCAACACAUCUCAGGGUAGAGAGUUCGGCUCUCUUGUCACAUCUCUGUAUUCAGACUCUUACAGACAUGACCGGCAACAACACCUUGGUAACCUUAUUCACCUGUCCACCUGUUCCGAUUGUAAUCUACCAGAGAGCAGAAGCCUGCAGGGGCCUUUGUCUUGUGUGUUUCUGCGGUCGCAUCCUGCUUCCUUAGGAGAGGAGCGGGGAAGAUACUGUUUCAAUUCAGGAGAACUAAGUGGUAAACUUUUUCUGUCUGUGACGAUACUGUUUCAAUUCAGGAGAGCUAAGUGGUAAAACUUUUUCUGUCUAUUUUUGUUUCAUUUCAAGUUGGGGUUUUCCUCCAAUGCUCUGUCCCUCCUGUCCUGUUUUAGACAAGCUGAUCUCAGAAACUGGGUAAUUGCACACAGUCAGCACAACCCGGCAAAGAUGUAUUGUCCACCAAACCUGCCAGUUGUAAUCAUUAAAAUCACGGCAGACUUCAUAAAAGGCUAUGUAGCUACUCCUGAUGUUGAACCAAUUUCUUUCUCUGUUGCUGUGAUAAUAAAAUACUUCGACAAAAGUGACCUAAGACAGAAAGAGCUUACUUUUGGCUAACAUCAUCCAGGCAAAGAAAUGACAGUAGUGGGAACUGGAGUGCACUGGUCACAUUGCCUCCCCAACCAAGAACAGAGAACAGGGAUGUUACAGGUGUGUGCUUAGCUCACUCCCUAUAAAGUGUGGAUCCUGACACAGUUGUAAUCAGUUUUCCCACACCCAUUGAUGUAACCAACAUUUAUGUAAGCCUACAUUCCAGGUUAGUCUAGAUCUGUCAAAUUGACAGCAUUAUCUAUCACACAUACACCAAAUAAACAUUUGUGGCUUAUGCCCCUUGACCUCAAGCUGGCAGGGUCAGGUGGACUGGACUCAGAAACAUUGAGGAAGGCGAGGAUGGGUUCAGUAGUUGGUGACUGUGCUGCAGUGGGGUAUCCUGGAUGCUGACUGACUUUGGCAGCUGAGAGAUUUACAGAUGGGAAGGGAGUUUCUUUGGAUAUGUGGGGCCUCUAGUCCUGACUUCAAUGGGAAUGAGAGGACAUGUGUGAACAAGUGCAGAGCAAGGUUGGGUCCCUUCUACCUGUGAUGGAGGGACAGGACACUUUCAAUCUGACUUAGGGCAGGUGGUCAACUGUGGGCAAAUGCUCCAGUCCACGGAGGCUGCAAGCCUAGAGAAUGUUGAAAAGGCCAAUGACACUGCGAUAGAGGCGAAGCUAAAGAAAAUGAUACAUUUGCUAGGCACUUGCUCAGAGUAUAAGAAUACCUUGCAGCCUAACAACUGAAUGAUAGUUCACUUUGGAGGAAAGGCAUGUCGACUUCUCUCCAAGAAGUCAGACACGAAACCAUGGGGGACUCCCUUGUCCCUUGACUGAGGCAGAAGUUUGAAAACAUUCUCUCUGGGUGAGUCGGAGACAGUGGCACUCAGGGGCUUCUGACAAUUUAAACUAAUGUGUUGUCCUUGGAUGUGGGUUUCAGUUUACGAGAGAGAGAGAGAGAGAGAGAGAGAGAGAGAGAGAGAGAGAGAGAGGCUCUUAAGCUCACACUCAUCCAGUGAUCUUGCAGAUAAUCAUAUGUGGGCAUACCAGACUGUAUUUGAGUUAAGGUUCAGAACAGUUGAAGGAUGUGGCUUUCUGAAAGACCAAAGGAAGGCAUGGAGACGAGGGACUGUAAGGCGAGGGGCUCUGAGAGUCAGGACAGGAGUCAGAGAGGCAGCAGGAUGAGAGGUGCAGGAGGAUCCCAGCCAUCCAGUGCUAUCUCAUCAUUUGCUAGGAGCCGUCCACCCAGGGACAGCAGAGAGGCAGAGGGAACAGGUCUAAGAAGAUGACAGGAGAGCAGGGGAGAGUGACAACAGGACAGAGAAGACACAGGCCGAAAACCAGUGGAGAGGAACAGUGGAUAAUGCAGGUGCCCCAAGGCCUGGGGGGCCACAAACUUCCCUUACUCCAAGGGAUGAAACCAGGUAAUCCUUGGACGGUGCAGGAUGGCUGGUGAUGGGUUGCUGGCCUCAGGAGUGCCUCAAGAGGAGGCAUAAUAAGGUUUGGGAUGGAAAACAAAAGUUCCUGGAGAAUUGUUUUGAACCAGUGACCACCUAUGCAGAGCCAGUUACGGGGAACACACAGUAGAUAAGGAAACUGUAACAUAAGAGCUGCAUAGGGCUGAGCCUCCAGCAGAGCCUCCCAGGGGAACAGUGCCCUGCCUAGUGAAGGGAGGUGAUUACCCAUCAGACCUAGUCUUGUCUUUCACCAGAAUUUUAAAGUCACACUAAUCGACUCCUCGGACGUAAUGACCCCUUCCCUCUAGAUAUUUAAAUAUUUAAGCACAUAAGAGAAUAUAUAUAUGUAUAUAUAUAUAUAUAUAUAUAUAUAUAUAUAUGGAUAAAAGGAGAUUCUAAAAACUUCUGAGAUGUGUAAGGUGAAUAAGUGUUCAGAGUGGGACAUUUUGGAAAGUACCAAAAGAUACGCAAAAGACAAGAGGACUUUCCGGAUAACUCAUUGUCACCUCACCUUUGACCGUGGAAAUGUGAGUUAACACAUCCCUGAGACUGCACAGGCCUCCCAGAAGCAUGACAUCCCCUGUGUUGACCUCAGGGUUUAUCAGCACCAGGUCUCAGCCUUUCUUCCUACUAGAAGACUCUUAUCUCAGUGGUCCAGCUGGUCUUGGGGAGAUGUGGUCACUGGGUUUGGGUCUGAGGGAGGGCUGGUCGCUGGUUCUCAAUGUGGUCUGGACUGUCCCUCACGGGGCUUCCCACGCCGGUUCUGUCUGGUGACCAGUGAGGCUGUGGCCCCCCUCAUGCCCUGGCGUCUCACCUGCAGACUUUCCAGGGUCUCCUUAUUGUCCUUUUAUUAAUUUGAUUGUCUGGACCAAUUUCUCUAGCACAUUCUUUGGGGAGAACCUAGUGAGAACAAGGCUCUCUAAGUUUCUGAAUGUAUAAUAGCAUUUCAACCUCAUAUUUAACCACCAUGUGCUGAAAUAAGGAAUAUUUUUGCUGGCUUACUUUUCCCUCUGGUAUUAACAAAUAUCAUUUCACAUUGCCAUUAGAAUUCCCGAAGGCAAUCUGAAUUUCUUUUCUUCAAAAAGAUAAUUUCAUUGCAUACCCAGAGGGCUCCUCCACCUACAGUAGGGUCUUUGGAUUAGAUCCUGGACCUGGUGCUACCACAGACUUGAAGACAAGGUCCUGCUUUAGCUUUUUAUGUUAAAAACACCAAUGGUGUUAAAAUGCUUCCUCUUUGUUUUGCUAUUUGCAUGUUGUGAAAUUCUAUCUAAUCUAUGAAUUAACUUUUUUCUCUUUGCUCAAGAUUAAAUGUCUUUACAAGACAGCAUCCAGCCUCUGGGUGCAGCUGCUAAGACCCUGUUAUGCUGUAGGCAUGGCUGGGGCAGGGCAGGUGGCUCUGGCUUCCCACCCUUCUGUUCUGAGAUGGGGUUGGAUUUCAUCUUUGGGUUCCACAAUGCUCACAUGAUCAGGCAGAGGCUUCUUGGGACCAAUCUUAGCACCUGGGUCCCAGGGUGGCAUGAUCUUUACUUUGAUGUCCAGCACACCCUGUGUGAGAAGCACACUAUGCACAGCAGUGGUCAACACAGUAGUUAACAGGGUCUCUGCUGUGAAUCAUCAGACUGUCCACAUGCUUCAUGGACUUGGCACUCUGUCCUCGGAGUUUCCCAGACACCACAGCCUUGCAGCCCUCGACCCCACUCUCCAUAGGUAACUGAAGCACCCCCAUAGCAGGCCCUUCAAACCGCAAGCCCUCCUAGGAGUGCGUAGCAUAGACUCUGCCUGGGGAUGGCCACCUUCUUCUGCAUAAAGCUCUACACUGCCUUCAGGGAAGCCGAAUUAAUUUUUUGAUGCAAGGGUCGCACGUGCACAUGUGGCUGUAGGUCCACAGCAGGUGUCUUCUGCAGUCACUCCCCGCCUUGAUUUCAUUUUGAGACAGCUUCUCAUUGAACUUUGGUCUCGCAGACAUGGCUAGCCUGUCUGGCCAGGGAGCUUCAGGUCCACAGAGCCGGGAUCACUAGGUUAUGCAUCCCUGCCAUGAUUUUUCAUGUUACUGAUAGAGGUCUGCACUCAGGUCCUCGUGCUUGCUCGGCAAGCAUUUAUGCUGCAGAGCCAUCCGCAGCCUUCUCCCUAAACAUCUGUUCAUUUCUUCCUUCUGUCUCACUGUCUUCCUUCUGGGACGACUCCGCAUCUCUUCUCAUUUCUUGCUCGCCCUUCCCUCCAACCCCUGAAGGCUUUGUCUCUGCUACAACCCUUCCCAGAAGACACUGCCACCUCCGCUGUAAAUUUCCCUAAUCCUUCGAUGUGUUGUUCAUGUCCCUAGAUUUCGUGGAGGUCAUCUGGAGCUCCUGGAGCUUCUUCCUGUCUUGUGUCUGUGGGAGGAAUCUCCUUUCCAACAGGAACUGUUUCUUUUUCUUAGAUUCACUGGGGGCAUUGUGUACCUCUUCCUACUUCUCCUGGGAGAGGGCUCCUAACAUUUGUGGGAGAGACGUGGACUAUGACGCCUUCCAAAGCUCCCCAUGCCGUUACUCCCACAGACCCCUCAAGUGUGUGGCUGUCACCUCCACCCGAGAUUGGGCUUUGCUGCUCAACUGCUCCUCUGUGGGACGCUGUCCUGGAAGGAGCCCUGCUGGUUGGUUAAAGAGUGGACCCUAAUUUCCCCUUAACAAUAAGUUUUGAAAUACAUGUCCUCAGACAUGGUGGUACAUGCUUUUAUUUCCAGCAUGGGCUUGCAGAGGCAGGGAGCUCUCUGUAGUGAGUUCCAGGACAGCCAGAAUUAUUUACAAAACAGAACAAACAAAACAAAACAAACAAACAAGGGGAAGAAAGACACCUUCGGGAUGAAAGGCUAAGAAGCCCAUUCUUGAGGUGACUGGUAGCGGUCAGGAAAUCCAGCUGGCACUGUAAUGCAAGAUACAAUGUAUCUCACUGUUUCAGACUCAAAUCAGAGAAUGGUACAGGGAAUGUUCGUGGUGGAUAUUCGCUACAGUAUCUCGGCAAAUUAUAGAUGAGGCCAAACGCCGAACUAAAUUCAUUCUCUCUCUCUCUCUCUCUCUCUCUCUCUCUCUCUCUCUCUCUCUCUCCCUACCUACCUCUCCUCUCCCCUCAUCCCCCUUUUUUCCUCUCUUCCUCUUUCUUUCCUUGGAAUUAACUGAGCCCCACCCUUAUCUGGUGUUAAGUUUCACUCACAGCAAUGCUGGCUUGGAGCAGAGUGGUUUAAAACACAACACAAGUGGCCUCUGCCACCCCUACUCCCUCGUUUCCUACAGCUUGAUGGCAAAUGUCCUUUGCUAGCACUGUUCCAGAUCACUGGGUUCCUUCCCCUGGUCCCACAACUGCAGGACAGUUAUGUGAGUGUGCCCUGGCCUCCUCCCUCCCAGGAGAGCAGGUCUCACUGCACUUCUUACAUCCCUUCUUACCAUCGCUGAGUUGGAAUGAAAGAGAAGUCCAUAAUAGGGGUUUCGAGAAGGGACACCUUGGCAAAGUGCUCCCUCUUCCUUCCCUACUCUCCAGAGAUGGCUGUGUGGCAUAGCAUAGAAGCCUUGGGAAGCCGUGUUCCCUAGAAAUUCAGAGUGUAGGUCAGCCUCUGUCACUCCCCACCUGUGCAUGCUCAAGCUGGCCCCUCCUUAAGCUCCCCAGAGCUAGCCCAUUGCCGCUUUGGUUUUCCCAUCCGCACAGGUGGCAAGUAUUGAGAGGCACCAAGCUGGGCCACAGACUUAAAAGGUGACCGUAAGUAAAUGGACAGGGGUGGAACCGACCGCAAGAAGCUGGUGGGUGUCUCAGGUGUGCCCUUAGCUUGCAGGUAGUGGGGAAACGUGGUGUCAAUAAGGGACUGUAGUGUAAGGGCAGCCUGUGAUGAUGCUGUAAUUAAGCUACAGCCAAGGUGAAGGACUGGGGCAUCUGCCCCACAGAAGAACCACCCAGGUCAGAGAAGGCCAGGGUGAACAGGGUUUCCUGUCAAGCUGUUUCCAAGGGAGAUUGUUGACUGUGAGGUAGACCCAGGAGAGGGGUGCUCUGGGGCCCAGGAGAUCCAAAAUGAACUGUGUACAACUGGUUCUGUUACUGGAGGGACGGGGUCUGGAACUGGAGCGGGCCUAACUGUCCAGAUGUAAAUUUCUGAGACACAAUACUAGAAAAUUAAAUCAUCAAGGCGUUCAAUAAGCAGAACACAGAACUGCGGUGGAGUUGACACUUAAAAUGCAAAUUCAGCAUUCAAACGGGACAUGGAAUGGGACGCUCAAUGUUAAAAAAUGAGUUCUUGUAGAGCGGAGGCUCACCUGGGACCCAACACUCAGAAGGCUAAGGUAGGGAAAAAGCAACUUGUUCAAUCACUAUAAUCCAUUACACUAAUAAUCAAAUCCUGGUAUGUAUGAAUAAAUUACCUUAUUAAAUCCAAUUAGAGGCAUGAAUCUUUUAAAUCAUUAUUAGCGGUAAGAGGGAGCGCCUAAAAUCUGACGAGGCUACUUCGUUGCAAUAGAAACGACCGUUCCAGCAAGGAGUUCCGGCCACACUCCGUAGCUCAGCCAUGAGCCACUGUCAGCACUUGGGUCAAAUUGUCCCCCUGGUGCUCCUCGCUGACACUUUAAGGCAAGAAAAUGUAUGAAGGUAAAUAAAAAGAGGCAGAUGUGUAUUUAACCAUAGGAAACAUGAUUUUCAAGGACAAGCUCUAAAAGGACAGAGGUUGUUUGCAGAUGAGGACAAAGUCGGCGUGUUAGUGCUGACACACUUCUGUUGUAACCCAGGAUCAAUCUUGUGGGCUCCGAUGUGGUGAUGAUCCCACGGGCUCCUACACUGUGAGCUGCACAAGCUACACCAGCAGUAAAAAAAAAAAAAAAAAAAAUCAAGGGCCCGGCCAGUUGUGGCACACAACAUUAACCCCAGCAGAAGUCAGAGGCAGGUGGAUUUCUGUGAGUUCAAGGCCAGUCUGGUCUACAGUACAAAUCCCAGGACAGUCUGGGUUACACAGAGAAGCUCUGUCUGAAACAACCAAAAAGACGACCAAGGAAGCAAGAGGAGCAGAAGCAUGGGAAUGGGAAAAAGUUAAAGCACAUAUGAAUACCUACUUACACACACAUAUACAUACUUACAUGCACACAAUACAUACCUACAUACAUACAUACACACAUACACACAUAUACAUAUACCUACAUACAUCCGUACAUACACACAUACAUAGAGAGAGUCUUUGUUCGUGUUAGGGGCUGGCUAUUAGCUAUGAUUUCAUCUAUGGAUUCAACUCAUUCUCAGCAAAAUCACCGCCAGGUACUUCAGGAUUAGAGAAAUUGCAAAGACUGUAGAAAAGCUGAGCUGAUCUUCAAUAGGAGCAAAAGCAAAGAGCAUGUGCUCCAACCGAUGGGUGGUGAGUUCUAGUAUUUUACACACCCUUGUGUAAUGUGUUUGCAAGUGUGUUUAUUUCAACCUCGCACCAAACAAAGAGAAGGGCCCAACCAGGCUGAAGCCCUAACUAUGUGUGAAGAAUUUUCAUGAACUCGAGGUGAGUAAAGAUUCCCUAAACAGUUGUGGAAAACGUGGUACGCAGGAGUGGAAGCAGGAAGGUAGACUAUCCCUCGUUAGAGGUAAGAACUUCAUUCAUGAGCGUCAUCAGUAAAGUAAAAGUGCAGUUGGCACACACAUCCCAGCAUUUGGGAGGCAGAGGCUGGUAGAUUCCUGGGUUCGAGGCCAGGCUGGUCUACAGAGUAAGUUCCGGGAGAGCCAAGGCUACAUAGAGAAAACCUGCCUUGAAAAAACAAAAUAAAUAUAAAUUCACUAAUUAAUUAACUAAUUCACUAAUUAAUUAAUAUAAAUAGUUGAAAACACAAUGGGAAAACAGCUGAAUGUGCGCUUUGCAAAAGAAGAAACCCAAAUGGCCCAUAAAUACAUUAAAAGAUGUUUAAUAUCCUUAUAUGUCAAGAGAAUGCAAACCAAAGUGACAGCAUGAUGUCAUGUCAUCCUAGUCAGAAUGGCUACCACAGAGAAAGCAGACAGCAAAUGCUGAUGACAAUGGGGUGGGGAAAGAAGCCUAGGCUCUGCCAGUGGGCUAGACUGGAGGAGCCUCCAUGAAGGCCCUUGAAGAAGCUAAACAUGGAGCCACCAUGGACCCCAUUAUAGUACUUCUGUAAGAGCCAGCACACCACGGAGACAACCACAUGCUCUGCUCUCUCUGCACCAUCUACAGCAGUCUACAUAUGAAACUGGCCCAGGUGCCCAGCUGAUGCACAGAAGCAGAAGUUGUGGUUGGUGCACACAAGGGCCUGUUACUUAGCCAUAAGAAGACCACAGACACGCCAUUUCUGGGAAAGUGGGUAUCGUUUAUUAAGUAAUCAGGUAGCUUCAGAAAGGCAAAGUUUCUAUGCUUUCUGUCAUAGGUGGAAAACAACCCAUGAGGCUUGGAUGGGGACUGGGGGGCCAGUGGUGGAGGGGAGGGACAUGUAAGCGAGGUAGGGAGGAAAUUGGAUCAAAGUACCUUAUUUACAGUAUGGCAAACUGCUCUUCCAGAGGUCCUGAGUUCGAUUUCCCAGCAACCACAUGGUGGCUCACAACCACUUGUAAUGGGAUCCAAUGCCCUCUUCUGGUGUGUCUGAAGAGAGCUCAUAUACAGAUGGAUGGAUGGAUGGAUGGAUGGAUGGAUGGAUGGAUGGAUGGACAGACGGAUGGACAGACAGACAGACAGACAGACAGAUGAUUUUGUAGAAUAAAGUACAUGAAGUGGAUAAGGACUUCGCAAUGCACCUGGGUGCAGCAGACAUCUCCAAUGAGACACCUGUCAGGAUGGGGAACUUCUACCCUUUGCACUCAAAAAAGGUCGGACAAGAAAAGCAACGACUUAAAAGCCAAGGCUGAAAGAACACAUCGCUGAAGGGUCUAUGGAACAGCCAGAAUCACAGGAGAAGGGCAGCCAGGAAGUGGGGUGUGACCUCAGUUGUAAACAACAUGGAGGGAAGAGAAAAAGACUGGCACCAAGGAGGGGAAAGAAGGAGAAAGGAGAAGGGGAGAAAGAAUAUAAAUGGCAGUCUGAAUGCUGGCAGGUCCUAUGAAGCAUCAGCCAACACUCAACUUACAUGCUCUUUAGUUAGACAGUUCCGCCCCUGGCUUCAUGUUCACCCAGACUGCAGAUGGAUGUGCACCAAAACCAGAAUUCAAAGCUCUCCAGCCCCUCUGUCUGUGACAUCCUUUAAUGGUGAAUUAAGGGGACAUGAUUAAUAUAUUCCUGCAACAGACUUCCACCUGUGUGUGGACACCUAAUGCCGUGGACCAAUGAUAACACAUGAUAGCAGAUGACCACGAGGCAGCUGGCGUCUGCUCCUGUCUUUAUAAAGUAGUCUGUGCUACGGGAGCUCCAGGAGCGGUGGCAAAUGCAGUGUCCAGAACACAGGAGGAGAGCUUUCAAUGCCACCAGUCACACAUUGUUUUCCUAACUUGAAUGGUGGUGGGAGGCAGGUGUGUUCUCUUGGGAAACCUUCCACCUGUGCACUUAUGUGCACUUUUUUGAGUGUUGAUUUUACAUAUUUUUAAUAAAAAAUGUUAACGUGCCUGUACACAUAAAGUAGAUAAGAAAAAGAUUCUGUUACCCACUGGCUGCUGGACCUGCUGUCAGUCAUCCGUCCGUCUUUCUGGCUCCUUAACACCUGCAACUGUGUAUUAGUUUGAGGCCUCUUUGUCGUAGAAUGCACAGAUGGCUCCAACAACAGGACUGUGCUAAGACCGGAGUCAGGAGGACAGAGUGGCGGUGACAAAGUAGUCCCUCUGAGGCUGGAGGGAGCAUGUCCUGGUUUCUCUCUCAGCCUCUGGUGAAAUACUAGUCACCCUGGGUUCCUUGGUCUCUGGUGCUUCUCCCUGAGUGCUGUCUCGUUCCCACAGAAUGUCCCCUCUGUGUGUAUCUGUGCCCAGAGUUUUCCUUUCAGGAGAACCAGACACAUUGCCUGAGAGCCAUGAAGUCUUGCCUUAAUGGCUUCCGCAAAGCUCCCGUCUCCAAAUAAGGCCAGAUUGUGAGCUUCUGGGGUUAUGGCCUCAGCAUAUGAUUCUGACAUACAUAAUUCAUCACGUGGCACUGUUAAUACACACAUGCACACAACUGUCAAGUGUUUGUGGUCCUUUAAUAAAAUCCUGCCUUUUGAUUAAAGUUUGUUCUUGGAAAACACAAUUUCCCUCCAGUACCCGGGGGCAAAUUGUAUAGUUGAGUUCAAAGUACACACAGAGUGCACACUUAGCACAUAACUUGGAACAAUAAAGCAUGCGUUGGUAAUAAUUAGCUCUAGAUGAAUGACUAAGAAAGUCACUGAAAGAGGUCCAACAUAAUUUUUAAGUGGCAAUUAUCAGACUUCCACGGAAGCCGCCGGAUUAGAUUUGUAGCAGUGGUAUUCCUGGCAAGCUGACUGGGCCCCUCUCCUGCUUCAGACUAUGCCACAGAAUGUUAGCUUUAUUUUAAAUUGAGGCACCAGUGUGGGGACCGGUGUCGAGUGGAUGUGACACUUGGCUGGCCUCCGUAUGCAGGGUGGUGGGUUUGAAGAGCUGGGAUCUUGUCUGAAGUCGGCCCCUCCGUGCCUUCACUUGCUCUGCUUCAGUUGCAGUCAGGGGGACCCCUCUGUGCCGAGCAGUGCAAACUGACCCAGCUCCUGGCCACACCCCUUGUGCUGUCCACUGUGAGUCAGGAAGGUGUUCCUACAGGAUCAAUCAAUAGCACAGCCGGUUUGCCCAGAGCUUUACGGAGAGCAAAGUACACUGACAGUUAGGUUUUAUCCCUGGCAUUCUUUGGAUUAGGCCGGAAGGUCUGUGGUGCCCCUCCUCCCAGGGUGUAGCUUUGAUGUGCUGGAGAGAGCCCAGGACCACACCUGACACGUAGCAAACAUCCAGUAGUCACAGUCGGGUGCUACAUGCGUUUUUUAUUGUUAUUACCGCCACAAGAUCAGGUGGCUCAUAAAAUUCUGAGAAAGAACUUGACCUGGGGUCAGCAGACAUCAGUCACUUCCCAAUGCCUUGGAACGUGACAGACAACAGGGCUGUAGUCAAGACCGCCUGUCCUGAAGGGACUCGGAACAAGUGGGAGGCGGGUGCAGGGAGAGAUAGCAGGUGCUGCUGUCUCUCCUAAAGCUAGCUGCUGGUGUUUCCCAGGGAGCCCCGACCUGACAUAAAAAGAUGCCGGCAUACAAUGAGAGCCCCACGAAUACAGUUCCCUCUUAUCAAUGGAGUUCAUGGCAGGAAGCAAAACAGAGAGACCUGGCCCAUGGUCUGCCUCAGUCAGGAGCUGAAGAAUGCCAUGCACCACUCCCCCCACUACCGUUUAAAUCUCGAGAAGAGACUUCCGUGGCAUCCAGCCAACUAGGCGAGGCAAAUACAUGGAGGAGCUGCCCACAGACUCUGGAGGCAUUCUGUCAUCUCAAGAGGCAACGAGCAUGCACAUGACCGGACCCCAGAGGGAGGCCUGUCCUAGACCACAGGAAACAAAACUUUGCUCAUCGACAGCAGAGGUCCAGAUACCAACAAAGGUAGAGAUGGCUCUGUGGCUCUGCUAAGUCUGGAAAACAAGUCACCUCUGGACAGCCCCUGCCCCAGGUCCUGUCCUCUACGAGCUGAGAAGGUCCCACUACUGCUGGCAGAGCAGGACCACAUGUGCCCGCUCAUAGUGAAUUAUCUGAAAACUUGGAAGACUCCCCACCUAGCAGAAGCCAAACUUCAAUAUGACUGAGAAUCUGAAAGGAAGCAAGCCUACUGCAAUGUAAGAGAGUGGAGUAGAGCAAGGGCAAGGGUGAGGAGUUGCUGGACAUCCGUGUCAUGGCGAUGACACUUACGCCCCUCCGAGCAUCCCACACUUCCCUUCAAUGGCAGGAGAGAAGGACUCUACCUUAGGGUGUGACCAUGGUGAUGGAUUGCAGAGUAUGGCUGUGAGGGGAGCAAGGCAGCAGGCACAUGUUGCUGGUCUCUCCUCCCUGUUCUUAGCCUGACCCUGGCCCCAUGCUCCAUUAUUCCCACAUGGUAAAGCCUCCUGUGUCUUUCUGCUCUGUAAGUAGCAGAGAAAUGGCCACACGGAACAUUAGGGCUCAUCCUCCCUCUGUCUGGGACCUAGAGCAAGGAGGGAAAGUCUGCUGGUGGUUCUAGCUGGCUACCUCUGCACAGCUGGGCACCUAUGUGGGGGCUGUACUUCUGCCUCAAGCUCUAUUCUCUUGUUCACUGUCUGAUAAACCUUUGUUCCUGCCUGCCUCCAUCCCUCUCCUUCCCCUUUCUCCCUCCUCCUUUUCCACUUCCUCCUCCUCCCUCCCUCUCCCUCUCCCUCUUCCUCCCCUACCCCAUCCCUCUAUCCCUCCUUCCUUUCUUCUCUUCCUUUUCUUACUGCUUUCUCUCUCUUGUUUCUAGGAGUGGGAACUGAAUCCAGACCUUUGCAAAACAAGUUCUCUACCAUGGAGCCCCCUUUUCCUUUUUUAUUUUGAGACAGGGUCUUGCUGCUAUAGUCCUUACAUAUCCACAUCCUCAACUUGUUCUGUAGCCCAGGCAGGCCUUGAGUUUUCGAUUCUGCUACCCAGCCUCACUUUGUUUGACAAGUGUAUCCUCAAGAGUCUGGGAGUCUCUGGACCUUAACUCAGCACUGCAUGUACACAGCCGUGGGGUGUCUCCACAGAGUGUACCUACCCUCUCCACUCCUUCCUCCGACACACCGAUUGGUCUGCCUUGUGGGCAGGCAGAGGCUCACUGGUGGAGAGAUGCUCACUGGUAACUGGACUUCACUCGGAGAGUGCACAGAGGGACACAGACAGAAGAGGAGAGGGUAUCGAGUUACACAGGGAGACCUGUGAGGGAUCCUGCUAACCCUGGAAAGAGAGGAGCUGGGGCUGGAGAAAUGGCUCAGCAAUGAAGAGUCCUUGCUGUUCUUCCAGAGAACACAGCUUGGGUUCCCUACACCCACACAAUGGCUCACAACCAUCUGUAAUUCCAGUUCCAAGAGUUCUGACGCCCUCUUCUGGCUUCCAUGGGCACCAGACACACAUGUGGGGCACAUACAUACAAGCGUGCAGGCAAAUGCUCACAUACAUAAAAUAAGAUUAUUUCAUCAUCAUCAUCAUUAUUAAUUAUUAUUAUUAUUAUUAUUAUUAUUAUUUUUAUUGGAGAAGGGAGCACAGCUCUGGGCGUCAAGAAAAACCGUGAAGCAGCAGAGUCUACCAGCUACAAACCAACCAGUGAGAGGCUCUGGUGAGCAUCACACCCACGCUGUCCUGCUCAUCCAAGCUUUGUUAAAAGGCCCAUCUCCUGUCAAGGACUUGUAUACCUUAUCAGGAAAGGAUGUCUCAGCUCUAGUCUCAAGAGUCACAGGAUUGCACCAAGCUAACAAGAGGUCUUGGAAUGAGGCAAAGCGAACCACCUCCCAAGUCCUCAUUGCACCUGAGGUACCUUGAGGGCUAUUGUUAAGCCCUGUGCUGGGAAGUUACCAAGCACUCAAGAAGUGAUGGUCACAGGGACAUCCUGCUCAGUGGCUGAGGAAAUACAGGAGGUUUAGAGCCACCGAGGCAAGUGCUGUUUAAACACUGCACCUCGGAUCUACGUUUCUGCCUAUAAAAACAGUCAGGUCCCACCUGGUAUCUCACAGGACCCUCUACCUGAGGCUCUAGGAAGAAUCAGAUGGACGUUUUCCUUCGAAGGCUCUCCGUGUAGCGAGAAGGCGAAAGCCAGCCAAUGUUCUGAUAGUAAUAACACAUGACACAUGGAGACAGUGGUUCUUGAUCAUACACCCAUACUAAGCUCUUAGUUCUGGUAACUCACACCCCACGCUGGCCACACAGGGCCUUCAUAUGGGUUUGUAUAUCUUCUACGCAUCUUUGUUCCAAGUCAGUUGAUAGCAGUUCGUUUCUGAGCUAUGUGGCAAAUCAUAGUUCUGUGUAGGUGGUCAUCUCCAGUAGAACUACCCGUUUAAACCCUAGAACAGGACAGGAAAGGAGCACACACUCACCCCUCCACCCUCUCUGUGAGGCAUGCGGUUCCACAGAGAAUCCUCUCUGAGCUGGAGACUCAAACAAAAUGUGUGCUCGGCUCCUGAGCCAGAGGAUAGGAAGAUAGCAUUUUGUGUGUGCUGUUGUCUCAGGUGGGCUUUCUCUCGCUAAGCUCAGAUAGGAGAAGUGGCCAUGCUGGUUUGAGGAGCCAUGCUAGUUUGAGGGGUGACAGAGUUUUCUAAAGGCUCGUGGAAAAAAAGCUGGACGCCCUGGCUCUCUCAGAUAAUCACAUAGGCCUUGGUGCAACUGUGGGUCAUUUCCAGACUCUGCAAGGUGAGAUGGAAGGAGAGGAAACCGGAUCCCGCAGCAUCUGGGGGCUGUCCAUCAUUUUAAUUGAAUGCACUAAUUGAAUUGCUCACUCUGGAAGGAGAGCACUCCUGGCUGCAGUCUGCACUUCUCAUAGCACGUCAGACCUGAGCUGUUCAUCCUUCCAGGAAACACCGUGUUUCCUCCCAAUGGAAGGUGGCUGAUAACUUACCUGAGAAUUAAUAAAUUGUUGGAUUAAUUAAUAAAUGUCAGUAUUUACCAGCUUGGUCAGAAAA